UCUGAUUUAGCCAUGGGCGUUUUUAAAAUCGAAUUUCAAGUAAAGGGAAAUUUUUUGACCUCAUUUGGCAGUCGAAAGUGGCUCUGGUGGUGGCGAUCGGCUUCCUUCUCGCCGGCUGGAUCUUCUUCUCCGGUCGGGAGGGGGGUCUGGCAACUACGAUUAGGGUUUGGUGUGAAGAAAGUUAUUUAUAUAUGUUCUCUUUUAAUCUGGGUCGUCUAUCGUGUUUAAUCUGGACCGUCCGAUCGCGAUUAAAUAGGGAUUGAAUUUGUGCCAUUCAU
This 278-nucleotide long non-coding RNA is filed under the name Carica papaya (papaya). RNAcentral describes it as "long non-coding RNA (CPAP_LNC003343)". Lineage: Eukaryota; Viridiplantae; Streptophyta; Magnoliopsida; Brassicales; Caricaceae. The record is from RNAcentral.